Molecule: long non-coding RNA, 847 nt
Organism: Dermacentor andersoni
Lineage: Eukaryota; Metazoa; Arthropoda; Arachnida; Ixodida; Ixodidae
Source: RefSeq, a predicted model, not a curated record
UGAGUUUCGCUGUGCGCCUCGGAACCAUCCACUUCAAGUGUCAGAAAAUUAUCUAAAAUUCAUUGUUAUCCCAAAGUAACACUGUUGAACAUCACAACAAGCUAUUGAAGAGUGAACCUUCAGGUCCGCUUACUCUCUGUUUGCACAAUUCUUCAGGAAAACACGACGUGGGCAUAUUGUUACUGCACACCGCGAUAGCUGACAUGCAACGAGAACUAAAAUUCGAAACCGAAACUGAACGGGCCGCCGCGCAGCAAGGCGCCACUUUUGAACUGGGAGACGACGGGACCCGCCUCGCCUCUCAUGAGAAAGAACGUCAAGGCCAACGGCGCGUCGGCGCUCAAAAUGCCUCGCCGCCCGUCUGCGGCCGUUCAAUUGAAGAAGCCAAUUGCACUUCGUUGCCCUUUCGCUUGGAUGCGACGUCGUUCUUCGCACCACGCCAGCUCGCGACAAUGCGGCCAGCUCCGGUCUUAACCGACGCUUCUGCGAACUUCCCGUCGGCAAUGGCGCUAGCGGUUGGUGGCGGGAACGAGCAAGCAGCCACCCGUCCUUCGAAAGCCACCUCUGCCGCGUUUCUAGAACUUUCAGGGACGGGUGAAUCAGCUUCUCGGUAUCAGGCAGAAGUCGUCUUCGUGCUACCUGAUAAGGAUCCUAGCGGCUGGGUCACCGGUAAUCACCAGUGUGUUGAAGAUGCAAGUAAACACGGCUUUACGGACGAUUCAGCUUCGCGGUAUCGCGAUGAAGAGGUUAUUCCUAACCUGCCCGUUGAGGAUCCCACAGCAUCAGUCACCGCCCGCGACGACUUUGCCAAAAAGGUCACCGAGCGUGCCUUGCUAAACGAAGGCAG